AGAUUGAACGCUGGCGGCAGGCCUAACACAUGCAAGUCGAGCGGCAGCACGGGUACUUGUACCUGGUGGCGAGCGGCGGACGGGUGAGUAAUGCCUAGGAAUCUGCCUGAUAGGUGGGGGAUAACGGUUCGGAAACGGACGCUAAUACCGCAUACGUCCUACGGGAGAAAGUGGGGGAUCUUCGGACCUCACGCUAUCAGAUGAGCCUAGGUCGGAUUAGCUAGUUGGUAGGGUAAAGCCUACCAAGGCUACGAUCCGUAACUGGUCUAGAGAGGAUGAUCAGUCACACUGGAACUGAGACUACGGUCCAGACUCCGACGGGAGCAGCAGGUGGGAAUAGUUGGACAAGUGGGACGAAAGUCCUGACUCCAGCCAUGCCGCGUGU
This 385-nucleotide ribosomal RNA is filed under the name uncultured soil bacterium. RNAcentral describes it as "bacterial SSU rRNA". It matches the Rfam family "Bacterial small subunit ribosomal RNA", at positions 26 to 404 of the family's 1533-position model. The record is from RNAcentral.